This 253-nucleotide ribosomal RNA is filed under the name uncultured bacterium. RNAcentral describes it as "partial 16S ribosomal RNA". It matches the Rfam family "Bacterial small subunit ribosomal RNA", at positions 524 to 776 of the family's 1533-position model. The record is from RNAcentral.
UACAGAGGGUGCGAGCGUUAAUCGGAAUUAUUGGGCGUAAAGAGCUCGUAGGCGGUUUGUUGCGUCGGCUGUGAAAUCCCGAGGCUCAACCUCGGGUCUGCAGUCGAUACGAGCAAACUAGAGUGUUGCAGGGGAGACUGGAAUUCCUGGUGUAGCGGUGAAAUGCGCAGAUAUCAGGAGGAACACCGGUGGCGAAGGCGGGUCUCUGGGCAACAACUGACGCUGAGGAGCGAAAGCGUGAGGAGCGAACAGG